AGUAAUGUCUGGGAAACUGCCUGAUGGAGGGGGGUAACUACUGGAAACGGUAGCUAAUACCGCAUAAUGUCUUCGGACCAAAGUGGGGGACCUUCGGGCCUCACGCCAUCGGAUGUGCCCAGAUGGGAUUAGCUAGUAGGUGGGGUAAUGGCUCACCUAGGCGACGAUCCCUAGCUGGUCUGAGAGGAUGACCAGCCACACUGGAACUGAGACACGGUCCAG
Molecule: ribosomal RNA, 222 nt
Filed under: uncultured bacterium
Lineage: Bacteria
Description: partial 16S ribosomal RNA
Rfam family: Bacterial small subunit ribosomal RNA
Source: RNAcentral